RNAcentral lists this ribosomal RNA (468 nucleotides) under uncultured bacterium. RNAcentral describes it as "partial 16S ribosomal RNA". It matches the Rfam family "Bacterial small subunit ribosomal RNA", at positions 28 to 507 of the family's 1533-position model. The record is from RNAcentral.
GACGAACGCUGGCGGCGUGCUUAACACAUGCAAGUCGAACGGAAAGGCCCUGCUUUUGUGGGGUGCUCGAGUGGCGAACGGGUGAGUAACACGUGAGUAACCUGCCCUUUACUUUGGGAUAACUUCAGGAAACUGGGGCUAAUACCGGAUAGGAGCUCCUGCUGCAUGGUGGGGGUUGGAAAGUUUCGGCGGUUGGGGAUGGACUCGCGGCUUAUCAGCUUGUUGGUGGGGUAGUGGCUUACCAAGGCUUUGACGGGUAGCCGGCCUGAGAGGGUGACCGGCCACAUUGGGACUGAGAGACGGCGCAGACUCCUACGGGAGGCAGCAGUGGGGAAUAUUGCACAAUGGGCGGAAGCCUGAUGCAGCAACGCCGCGUGCGGGAUGACGGCCUUCGGGUUGUAAACCGCUUUCGCCUGUGACGAAGCGUGAGUGACGGUAAUGGGUAAAGAAGCACCGGCUAACUACGUG